Molecule: ribosomal RNA, 371 nt
Filed under: Delphiniobium hanla
Lineage: Eukaryota; Metazoa; Arthropoda; Insecta; Hemiptera; Aphididae
Description: partial 12S ribosomal RNA
Source: RNAcentral
AUUUUAGUCUUAUUAGAGGAACCUGUUUAUUAAUUGAUAAUCCACGAUUAAUUUUACUUAUUUUAAUAAUUCAUAUAUCGCUGUCAUGAAUAUAUUAAAAAAUUUAUUUUCUUUAUUUAUUUUUAUAAUUUAUGUUAAGUCAAGAUGUGGUUUAUAAAUAAGUAUAUAAUGGGUUACAUUAAAUUUUAUUUUUGGAUUUAAAAUGAAAAUUAAAAUGAAAUUGGAUUUAAUAGUAAAUUUAUUUAUUUAGUUAAUAUGAAGAAAGAUCUAAAAUAUGUACAUAUUGCCCGUCAUUCUUAUUAAAAAUAAGACAAGUCGUAACAAAGUAAAUGUACUGGAAAGUGUAUUUAGAAAGUAAAUAAAUAUCUAAA